Oryctolagus cuniculus (rabbit) is the source of this 1330-nucleotide non-coding RNA. The record is from RefSeq and is a predicted model, not a curated record. Lineage: Eukaryota; Metazoa; Chordata; Mammalia; Lagomorpha; Leporidae.
CUCGCAACCACGUCCUCCUCUCCGCCUCGUUUGCAGGUCGCCAGAGCCCAAGCCCGAGUCCUGCACAGCCUCAGGUUCCUCAACGUCACGCAGCGAGCACCCUCUGCCGGUCCCCAGUCUGCGGUCACCCACGCGUUCUGUCCACUGUCUCCUCCCAACGCCAGAGGCCACCGGGCUCCAUCCGGGGCACUGCAGGAAGAGCAGGAUGAGGCUCCGCUGGGCGCGGCUCCGCAGUGCCGGCACACACGCAUGCACACACAUGCACGCUCACACACCAAGAACCCACGCCCACGUAGCUCCAGCUAGAGUCCCAGGGAAGCGAGGCAAGAGGCCUGUACGGGCACAGCUCAGGGAUGCUGACACACGACACAUGCGUGCUCACAUACAUGCACACGCAUGCGCGCCAAAAAACGAAGCCAGCGUCGCUCCAUCUAGAGUAACACACAGAAAGCAGAGUAAGGCACUGCUCCUGUGGUACUUACACAUACCUGUGCACACGCACACACGCCGAAAACCGGAGCCAGCCAUUUCUUUCUUUUGAUCCAGCCUCAGACACCUUCAAGAGUCACCUGAGAAACCAUGGAAGCCUUUCAGGACAAAGUGUCCAGAGCUUCAGCCAGAAUGGCGGCCCCAAAACCCCUCCUCACAAAGCAGCCAACUUACGGGACACUCAUCAUGGCAGAGAGAGGAGAACAGACAUGAGAUUCCACUGUCACUCUCGGCUCAGAGCUACACGGUCCGGGACUGAAACUGUAGCACCAGCGUAGAAGUGGCCAGGACACGAGAGCAGCCCACCGUCACGGCCACGGGGCCAUGAGAGCAGCCCACCGUCACGGCCAGGCGCAGCUGCAACAGCCGAGAAGUGAGCCAUGGCCUCGGAACACGUCGGGACGCUGUGUGAGGUCAUGAGAGCUCAUGGAGAAUCCGGCUGGAGUGUGAACUGCGGUUGCCGUCGAAGCCGGCUUCCCCAGAAUGUCUGAGCUGACACCUGAAGGCCGAGUGACUCCCCAGGGAGACAGGUGAGAGGGAGCGGGCGGAGGGCAGCUCUGGACCAAAGAGAAGGCAUGGUGAGGCUGGGCCAGCAGCCGGGCUGCACAGGCCUUGCGUGGCUGGGGCAUUGAAAACCUGUGCUGUGGCUCCAAGAACAGUGGAAAACCAGGGAGGAGCUGCAGGCCUGGGGAGAGAGGAGGAGCCGGUAGACAGGACCGCCAGGAGGGGCUCCCUCUUAAACCACCCCCACCGCGCAGCCAUCGUGCAGAGCACGGGCUUAGGAGUCCAGGGUCGGCUGUGGGCGGCCAGCGUGAAGGCUCGCAUCCAGGCACUGCCACGA